CCGGGUAUAGCGGAGCUGGUACCGCGCCACAUUUGGGAUGUGGAGAUCGUGCGUUCGAGUCGCACUACUCGGACCA
Molecule: transfer RNA, 76 nt
Filed under: Flavonifractor sp.
Lineage: Bacteria; Bacillati; Bacillota; Clostridia; Eubacteriales; Oscillospiraceae
Also listed under: 5 other names
Description: tRNA-Pro
Rfam family: tRNA
About the family: Transfer RNA (tRNA) molecules are approximately 80 nucleotides in length. Their secondary structure includes four short double-helical elements and three loops (D, anti-codon, and T loops).
Source: RNAcentral